Molecule: ribosomal RNA, 933 nt
Filed under: Capnodium coartatum
Lineage: Eukaryota; Fungi; Ascomycota; Dothideomycetes; Capnodiales; Capnodiaceae
Description: SSU rRNA
Rfam family: Eukaryotic small subunit ribosomal RNA
Source: RNAcentral
CGGGCAGGUCUAAGUAUAAGCACCUAUACGGUGAAACUGCGAAUGGCUCAUUAAAUCAGUUAUCGUUUAUUUGAUAGUACCUUACUACAUGGAUAACCGUGGUAAUUCUAGAGCUAAUACAUGCUAAAAACCCCGACUUCGGGAGGGGUGUAUUUAUUAGAUAAAAAACCAAUGCCCUUCGGGGCUCAAUGGUGAAUCAUAAUAACUUAACGAAUCGCAUGGCCUUGCGCCGGCGAUGGUUCAUUCAAAUUUCUGCCCUAUCAACUUUCGAUGGUAGGAUAGUGGCCUACCAUGGUAUCAACGGGUAACGGGGAAUUAGGGUUCUAUUCCGGAGAGGGAGCCUGAGAAACGGCUACCACAUCCAAGGAAGGCAGCAGGCGCGCAAAUUACCCAAUCCCGACACGGGGAGGUAGUGACAAUAAAUACUGAUACAGGGCUCUUUUGGGUCUUGUAAUUGGAAUGAGUACAAUUUAAAUACCUUAACGAGGAACAAUUGGAGGGCAAGUCUGGUGCCAGCAGCCGCGGUAAUUCCAGCUCCAAUAGCGUAUAUUAAAGUUGUUGCAGUUAAAAAGCUCGUAGUUGAACCUUGGGCCUGGCUGGCCGGUCCGCCUCACCGCGUGUACUGGUCCGGCCGGGCCUUUCCUUCUGGGGAACCGCAUGCCCUUCACUGGGCGUGUGUGGGAACCAGGACUUUUACUUUGAAAAAAUUAGAGUGUUCAAAGCAGGCCUUUGCUCGAAUACAUUAGCAUGGAAUAAUAGAAUAGGACGUGUGGUUCUAUUUUGUUGGUUUCUAGGACCGCCGUAAUGAUUAAUAGGGAUAGUCGGGGGCAUCCGUAUUCAAUUGUCAGAGGUGAAAUUCUUGGAUUUAUUGAAGACGAACUACUGCGAAAGCAUUUGCCAAGGAUGUUUUCAUUAAUCAGUGAACGAAAGUUA